GUGUGUGACCAGGACGGAGAUGAGAGAUGGUUUACUGCAAGUUGCAAGCCUGGAGCCAGCGAUGUUCCCCCACCCACCCCUGGUCUCCUGUGCCCCCCACCAGCUCCCUGCUCACCUGAAGCCAUGUGGUCAGCUAUGGCCUAUGUGACAGUGGAGGUGAGCUGUGUCACUCUUGAGUGUGGAAAGUGCAACUGAUGGGAGAUCCCUGCGUCUUUCUUUACUUUUGUGGCAGCCAGUGGUGCUUGAGACAGCGGCUUGUAGAGCAGAGCUCCCACCAGCUCCCGUUGGACGUGCGACGCAGGGAGUCAGAGCUGAGUAUCUGCAAUGAGCAAAGCAGAGCCGCUCUAGAGGAAGCAGGGUUGGCGGCUCUGGAAUCACCCACUCAGCUCUACCAAUUUCCAAGGAACCCUGAGCCACUGUUUGCAAACCACUGCGAGGAAAGCGAAACCAAAGUCUGCCUGGUUUUGAAGAACACGCUCUUCAAGUCAUAUGUCAAAUACAUUUUUCAAAUAAAAAUAAAGUAGAGGAGUUCCCGUUAUGGCACAGCAGAAACGAGUCCGACCAAGAACCAUGAGGUUGUGUGUUCGAUCCCUGGCCUCGCUCAAUGGGUUAAGGAUCCGGCGUUGCCGUGAGCUGUGGUGUAGGUCAAAGAUGUGGUUUGGAUCUGAGGUUGCUAUGGCUGUGGUGUAGGCCGGCAGCUGUAGCUCCAAUUGGACCCCUAACCUGGGAACCUCAGUAUGCCUCAGGUGCGGCCCUGAAAAGCAAAAAAAAAAAAUGUUGAAAUAGUAUCCAGUUCUUGUGAGAAGCAGGAAGCAUUCCUUGAAACCUUGAUAUUGUCAUUCUAAAGGGAAAAGAGCAAGAUUAAUCAUUUUCUGAAGUCAUUUAAAGCCAAGAAAAAAUGUGAACUCGUAUGUAACCUGCCCACAAUGAUUAAUUAAAAAAUAAUAAGUAAAGCACUCAUGGUCAGAAAACCAAGUAGUACCAAAGGGCUGCAAAGAAACACAAGUCUUACCUUGCUCACAGUUCUGCUCCCCAGAAGCAAACUUCUUCAGCUGCUGCAGUUUUUGUAUUUUGCGGUCCUUACGGCCACACUAGACAAUAGGCUUAUGCUGUCAGUGUCAGUUGACCUAUCGACUUUGUGUAUAAGCUGUUGGCUUUCUGCUGUGAAAAAUGGGUAUUUAACUCACUCAUGGUUUGAGCACUGGUCUUGUCUGGUCAUUUGUAAUAUUAAAGGCUUACUCUAAACCUUUGUUUCUUAUUCCUUCAGUUAUCUGAUGUUUUAUCUGUUAAUUUUCUCUGGUAGUAAUUUGUUCAACUGCAAGUAACAGAAAGUUCUGCACAGAAUAGUGGCUUAAACAAAAACAGGGUUUGUGUGUUUUUCUACAAAGGAAGUCUGGGCACUUGUGGGUGUUGAUGUGGUUACUAAGCAAUUCCUCAGAAAGCUGGUUUUUGUCCCCAUGCUCAUUGCCUCAGGGUCACAAGACAGCUGUCACAGCUGAAGAUGACUCAUGUGUUUAUAAGCAAGGAAAGGGAGUGGAGGUUCCGGUUGUAUCUUUUGUAUCAGAAAAGUGAAAACUCUCUCAGAGGUCUCGGGAGACUUGCUUCUGCUCGCCUCUCAUUGGCCAGAUGUUGUCAGGUGUGAAGAAGGUGUCAGGCGCCCGGAAAAGCAGGCCUGCGGGCGGGCCCAGCACUGCCUCCGGUACAAGUGAGGUUCCGUUAUGGGAAAAGGGAGAAAAGGACAUUGGAUAGGGAACCGGCGGUGCCCACCGUGUCCUUCUUGUGGGGGGCUCUGUGUGGGGACACGGGCUGCCGCCAUCGCUGAGAAUAGCCAGCCUUGAAUCUGGACGGCUUUUUUUAAGCCAGCUUUUGAUGCAAAGCCAUGAAAGCACAGCUCUGUGAGGUGGUUCUGGAGGCUUCUGUACUCUUGCUGUGUGUCCUUACUUUAAUAUGAUUUUGGAGGUGGAUUUAGAAUGUUCAGAGCUGGAGUUCUCUUGAGCAGGUGCCCACCCCCAAGGCAGGGUUUUUGGGUAAAUGUUUUCUUAGUGGUGGGUUAACACAGUGACUGGUUAUUUUAGCGGGUGGAGCCUAGGGGUGCCUGGAGCUUGUAGAGCAUAGGACAGUUCUGUACAACCAGAAAGUGUCCUGCAUCUCUAAUAGCAUCUGUAGGUCUCAUGGAUAUUUAGGUGCAUGAAACUCCUGUUUGUAAAGAGAAAGGAAAAGCAUCCCUCACAGCUGUCAGAUGGAAGCCGAUGUGGCCCUAAGAGCCAGGCUCCAGUGUUCUUGAACAAAAGUAAUGCUGUACAACGGCAGCAUCUGACGAGGCCACUCUGCCUGAGGGAGCAAGACAAUCGUGAGUAAGGACACUCUGUCAACGUCUGUAGUCCUGUUGGAGCAUCGAAGCAAGGAUGCUGUGCAGAUGACUAAAAAUGACCAAGCACUCUGUCUCUUGCUUACGUGAGAGGCUGCCGCCGCCUGCUCAGUACAGCUUUAGACCUCUCUGUUCUUCUCCUGCCGAGGUGGAAAUUACUGGGUUAGCCGCUCGGUUGCUUUCCUUUCUGAAAGCAGCCAAUCCACGGUAACAUCAUGAUUCAUGGAGCCCUUCUCGAAAUCACCUGACACAGGCCCAAGCUCCCACAGCACGCUUGUCGGAGACACCCCAUAGUUUGUGGUCUCCCUCAUGCAGAAAAUCCAAGAGUUUUUCACCACUUUGAAAACUGUCACUAGGUUUCAUGUCAGCAUGACUCAUGGCAUUUGCCCUGCAAGCUAAAACUGCUGCCGCUGCAUUAGUCUGCUUUGUAGUGACUACAUUCUUGGGACCUAUACGUAUGUUUGCAAGCACCUGACUGUGUUUUAUGUUCAGUAGUUGUGGCCAAAUGGCUACGUUUUCACAUUGAAUUGCAUAUUCCUUUUAUCUCUUUUAUAGGUAGACAUUGAAUUGACUUAAAAUCUGUGGUAAUGAAAUGCCUCUGUAAGUUUUUUAGAAUAAUAAAAAGGAUGUUUAAAAAUAUUUGUAUGAGGGA
RNAcentral lists this long non-coding RNA (3020 nucleotides) under Sus scrofa (pig). RNAcentral describes it as "lncRNA (ENSSSCG00070003034.1)". Lineage: Eukaryota; Metazoa; Chordata; Mammalia; Artiodactyla; Suidae. The record is from RNAcentral.